AAACCAACAGGGAUUGCCUCAGUAACGGCGAGUGAAGCGGCAAAAGCUCAAAUUUGAAAUCUAGCACCUUCGGUGUUCGAGUUGUAAUUUGAAGAUGGUAACCUUGGGUUUGGCUCUUGUCUAUGUUCCUUGGAACAGGACGUCAUAGAGGGUGAGAAUCCCGUCUGAUGAGAUGCCCAUUCCUAUGUAAGGUGCUAUCGAAGAGUCGAGUUGUUUGGGAAUGCAGCUCUAAGUGGGUGGUAAAUUCCAUCUAAAGCUAAAUAUUGGCGAGAGACCGAUAGCGAACAAGUACAGUGAUGGAAAGAUGAAAAGAACUUUGAAAAGAGAGUGAAAAAGUACGUGAAAUUGUUGAAAGGGAAGGGCAUUAGAUCAGACUUGGUGUUUUACGAUUAUCUUCUCUUCUUGAGUUGUGCACUCGUAUUUCACUGGGCCAGCAUCGAUUCGGAUGGCAAGAUAAUGGCAGUUGAAUGUGGCUUCACUUCGGUGGAGUGUUAUAGCUUCUGCUGAUAUUGCCUGUCUGGAUCGAGGGCUGCGUCUUUGACU
This 543-nucleotide ribosomal RNA is filed under the name Hansenula anomala. RNAcentral describes it as "LSU rRNA". It matches the Rfam family "Eukaryotic large subunit ribosomal RNA", at positions 62 to 608 of the family's 3401-position model. Lineage: Eukaryota; Fungi; Ascomycota; Saccharomycetes; Phaffomycetales; Wickerhamomycetaceae. The record is from RNAcentral.